Molecule: ribosomal RNA, 445 nt
Filed under: uncultured bacterium
Lineage: Bacteria
Description: partial 16S ribosomal RNA
Rfam family: Bacterial small subunit ribosomal RNA
Source: RNAcentral
GUGAGGAAUAUUGGUCAAUGGACGGAAGUCUGAACCAGCCAAGUAGCGUGCAGGAUGACGGCCCUAUGGGUUGUAAACUGCUUUUAUGCGGGGGUAAAGUGAGUGACGUGUCAUUCAUUGCAAGUACCGCAAGAAUAAGGACCGGCUAAUUCCGUGCCAGCAGCCGCGGUAAUACGGAAGGUCCUGGUGUUAUCCGGAUUUAUUGGGUUUAAAGGGAGCGUAGGCCGUCAGGCAAGCGUGUUGUGAAAUGUCGUGGCUCAACCAUGGACUUGCAGCGCGAACUGCCCGACUUGAGUGCGCAGAAAGCAGGCGGAAUUUGUGGUGUAGCGGUGAAAUGCUUAGAUAUCACGAAGAACCCCGAUUGCGAAGGCAGCCUGCUGUAGCGCUACUGACGCUGAAGCUCGAAAGUGCGGGUAUCGAACAGGAUUAGAAACCCUAGUAGUCC